Molecule: transfer RNA, 77 nt
Filed under: Elusimicrobiota bacterium
Lineage: Bacteria; Pseudomonadati; Elusimicrobiota
Description: Elusimicrobia bacterium (anaerobic digester metagenome) tRNA-Ile
Rfam family: tRNA
About the family: Transfer RNA (tRNA) molecules are approximately 80 nucleotides in length. Their secondary structure includes four short double-helical elements and three loops (D, anti-codon, and T loops).
Source: RNAcentral
GGGCCCAUAGCUCAGUCGGUUAGAGCACCUGACUCAUAAUCAGGGCGUCCAAGGUUCAAGUCCUUGUGGGCCCACCA